UGCCAGCAGCCGCGGUAAUACGGAGGGGGUUAGCGUUGUUCGGAAUUAUUGGGUUUAAAGGGUCCGCAGGCUGUUUGUUAAGUUAGAGGUGAAAUCCUACCGCUCAACGGUAGAACUGCCUUUAAAACUGGCAAACUUGAGUUAUUGUGAAGUAAUUAGAAUGUGUAGUGUAGCGGUGAAAUGCAUAGAUAUUACACAGAAUACCAAUUGCGAAGGCAGAUUACUAACAAUUAACUGACGCUGAGGGACGAAAGCGUGGGUAGCGAACAGGAUUAGAUA
This 279-nucleotide ribosomal RNA is filed under the name uncultured bacterium. RNAcentral describes it as "partial 16S ribosomal RNA". It matches the Rfam family "Bacterial small subunit ribosomal RNA", at positions 506 to 784 of the family's 1533-position model. The record is from RNAcentral.